UACGAAGGGGGCUAGCGUUGCUCGGAAUUACUGGGCGUAAAGGGAGCGUAGGCGGACAUUUAAGUCAGAGGUGAAAUCCCGGAGCUUAACUUCGGAACUGCCUUUGAUACUGGAUGUCUUGAGUGUGAGAGAGGCAUGUGGAACUCCGAGUGUAGAGGUGAAAUUCGUAGAUAUUCGGAAGAACACCAGUGGCGAAGGCGACAUACUGGCUCAUUACUGACGCUGAGGCUCGAAAGCGUGGGGAGCAAACAGG
Molecule: ribosomal RNA, 253 nt
Filed under: uncultured bacterium
Lineage: Bacteria
Description: partial 16S ribosomal RNA
Rfam family: Bacterial small subunit ribosomal RNA
Source: RNAcentral